RNAcentral lists this ribosomal RNA (497 nucleotides) under uncultured bacterium. Its description in RNAcentral is "partial 16S ribosomal RNA". It matches the Rfam family "Bacterial small subunit ribosomal RNA", at positions 28 to 507 of the family's 1533-position model. The record is from RNAcentral.
GAUGAACGCUGGCGGCGUGCCUAAUACAUGCAAGUCGAGCGAACGGACGAGAAGCUUGCUUCUCUGAUGUUAGCGGCGGACGGGUGAGUAACACGUGGAUAACCUACCUAUAAGACUGGGAUAACUUCGGGAAACCGUAGCUAAUACCGGAUAAUAUUUUGAACCGCAUGGUUCAAAAGUGAAAGACGGUCUUGCUGUCACUUAUAGAUGGAUCCGCGCUGCAUUAGCUAGUUGGUAAGGUAACGGCUUACCAAGGCAACGAUGCAUAGCCGACCUGAGAGGGGGGUCGGCGCACCUGGAACUGAGACGCGGACCAGGCGCCUACGGGAGGCCGCAGGAGGGAAUCUUCCGCAAUGGGCGGAAGCCUGACGGAGCAACGCCGCGUGAGUGAUGAAGGGCUUCGGAUCGUAAAAAUCUGUUAUUAGGGAAGAACAUAUGUGUAAGUAACUGUGCACAUCGUGACGGUACCUAAUCAGAAAGCCACGGCUAACUACGUG